UACGAAGGGGGCUAGCGUUGCUCGGAAUGACUGGGCGUAAAGGGCGCGCAGGCGGCUUGGUAAGUCGGAUGUGAAAACCCGAGGCUCAACCUCGGGCGUGCAUCCGAAACUGCUCGGCUAGAGGUAGGUAGGGGAGAUCGGAAUUCCUGGUGUAGCGGUGAAAUGCGCAGAUAUCAGGAGGAACACCGGUGGCGAAGGCGGAUCUCUGGGCCUUACCUGACGCUCAGGCGCGAAAGCUAGGGGAGCGAACUGG
This 253-nucleotide ribosomal RNA is filed under the name uncultured bacterium. Its description in RNAcentral is "partial 16S ribosomal RNA". It matches the Rfam family "Bacterial small subunit ribosomal RNA", at positions 524 to 776 of the family's 1533-position model. The record is from RNAcentral.